This 429-nucleotide ribosomal RNA is filed under the name Bacteroidota bacterium. Its description in RNAcentral is "Bacteroidetes bacterium partial 16S ribosomal RNA". It matches the Rfam family "Bacterial small subunit ribosomal RNA", at positions 355 to 776 of the family's 1533-position model. Lineage: Bacteria; Pseudomonadati; Bacteroidota. The record is from RNAcentral.
UAGGGAAUCUUCCGCAAUGGACGCAAGUCUGACGGAGCAACGCCGCGUGAGUGAAGAAGGAUUUCGGUUCGUAAAACUCUGUUGUUAGAGAAGAACAGCGCAUAGAGUAACUGUUAUGCGUGUGACGGUAUCUAACCAGAAAGCCACGGCUAACUACGUGCCAGCAGCCGCGGUAAUACGUAGGUGGCAAGCGUUGUCCGGAUUUAUUGGGCGUAAAGCGAGCGCAGGCGGUCAAUUAAGUCUGAUGUGAAAGCCCCCGGCUCAACCGGGGAGGGUCAUUGGAAACUGGUUGACUUGAAUGCAGAAGAGGGGAGUGGAAUUCCAUGUGUAGCGGUGAAAUGCGUAGAUAUAUGGAGGAACACCAGUGGCGAAGGCGACUCUCUGGUCUGUAACUGACGCUGAGGUUCGAAAGCGUGGGUAGCAAACAGG